UUCUAACAAAAAAAAAAAGACAAUGAUAGUAAUAAAUUAACAACAGUUAUCUGUUUUUCAAAGGACAAAAAACAAGGGCUCUCUGUUUGAAAAAAAAAAGUCACGCUCGAACGCGGAGGUAGAUAUAAAUCCCAAUCGCUUGUUUUGAAUUUUUUUUCCAGCGAAGGUAGUAUUACAAGAUUUUUUGGCUGCUGAGCUACAUUUUUUCACUUUUUUGGCUUUGCCAAAAAAGUCAAAAAGACUACGCCGCGGAUUUUCCUUUGAAGCGCGCUCUUCACAUUUAGUUAUGAAUGCGAAGGAACAGAAUUUUCUCUAACUUUCAACUUUGUCUUCUCUAACUUUCAAGUUCAAUUUAAUGGAUAAUCAUCAAUAAUAUUGACAAAUUAAUGUGAAGAAAAAAAAAUAAAGCCCAUUUCUAAAUUUUUAAGAGAAAGAGAGAUUGUCAGAUGCAGAAGGCAUCAGCUGCAAAGAGCAGUCCAAGUGUCCCAUUUUUGAGCAUUGGAGCUUCGAAAAUUGAGGCGGAGCCCAAGUCAUAUGUAAAAAUUUAAAGAGAUCAACGCAAAUAUGCUGAUUUGCCCAGUGCUGGCCAAUUCUCGGCGUCGGCCCACCUCGUCUCGUCUUCUUUCCUUUCUUCCUCUCUUUCCCUUCCCUCGGCCCUCUCUUUCCCAUUCUUUCUUUUCUUUUUUUUUUUCUUUUUUUUAAAUUAAAAACAUAUAAAUUUUUAAAAAUUUUCAUUUUUUAUGCUGUGUCAAAAUGAUAAUAACAUUUUUGUCACGUACGAGUUUACUGAACGUUUUGAUUAUCUAAACUAUAAAGGUUUUAGUUUAAA
Molecule: long non-coding RNA, 829 nt
Filed under: Durio zibethinus
Lineage: Eukaryota; Viridiplantae; Streptophyta; Magnoliopsida; Malvales; Malvaceae
Description: long non-coding RNA (DZIB_LNC000492)
Source: RNAcentral